This 493-nucleotide ribosomal RNA is filed under the name uncultured bacterium. Its description in RNAcentral is "bacterial SSU rRNA". It matches the Rfam family "Bacterial small subunit ribosomal RNA", at positions 29 to 520 of the family's 1533-position model. The record is from RNAcentral.
AGCGAACGUUUGCGGCGGGCCUAACACAUGCAAGUCGAACGCACUAGCAAUAGUGAGUGGCGCACGGGUGCGUAACACGUGGGUAAUCAACCUUUCAGCUUGGGAUAACGACUUGAAAGGGUCGCUAAUACCGGAUACGGCGCGGGAGGCUUCGGCUUCUCACGAGAAAGCCUCGCAAGGGGCACUGAAGGACGAGCCUGCGGCCCAUCAGCUAGUUGGUGAGGUAAGAGCUCACCAAGGCGAAGACGGGUAGCUGGUCUGAGAGGAUGAUCAGCCACACUGGAACUGAGACACGGUCCAGACUCCUACGGGAGGCAGCAGUGGGGAAUAUUGCGCAAUGGGCGAAAGCCUGACGCAGCCACGCCGCGUGAGCGAUGAAGGCCUUCGGGUCGUAAAGCUCUGUGGGGAGGAGACGAAGAAAGACCCGUGAAGAGCGGGCCGUUGACGGUAUCUCCUUAGCAAGCACCGGCUAACUCCGUGCCAGCAGCCGCGG